CUACGGGCCGCACCAGUGAGGAAUAUUGCGCAAUGGGGGCAACCCUGACGCAGCGACGCCGCGUGGAUGAUGAAGGCCUUCGGGUCGUAAAAUCCUGUCAGAUGGAAAGAAGUGCGAGGUGGUUAAUACCCAUUUCGUUUGACGGUACCAUCAGAGGAAGCACCGGCUAACUCCGUGCCAGCAGCCGCGGUAAUACGGAGGGUGCAAGCGUUGUUCGGAAUUACUGGGCGUAAAGCGCGCGUAGGCGGUUUGUUAAGUCAGAUGUGAAAGCCCACGGCUCAACCGUGGACGUGCAUUUGAAACUGGCAGACUUGAGUAUUGGAGGGGGUGGUGGAAUUCCCGGUGUAGAGGUGAAAUUCGUAGAUAUCGGGAGGAAUACCGGUGGCGAAGGCGACCACCUGGCCAAAUACUGACGCUGAGGUGCGAAAGCGUGGGGAGCAAACAGGAUUAGAUACCCCGGUAGUC
Molecule: ribosomal RNA, 465 nt
Filed under: uncultured bacterium
Lineage: Bacteria
Description: partial 16S ribosomal RNA
Rfam family: Bacterial small subunit ribosomal RNA
Source: RNAcentral